AUUCUGGCUCUCUACAAUACACUAUUGACUAAAUGGAAAGAACAAUAAUAAAAAAAUGAAAUUGAAACCUGUUCAAUUAUAAUGGCUCCAGAGUGGGAGAUCUACUAAGUAUCAUCAUAAAGAAGCGAAUGAACCCAUUGUCUUAAUGUUUAUAAACCCAAAGAUCCCUACUGUCAAGAUAAGAAUUACUAUUCAACAAAAACUGGAAAGCAACAUGGCAGAAACUAGGUACAGAACAACAGCUCAUGACAUAUUCCAACAUUUGCUUCAAAUGAAUAUCAUAAAUAAAUUAAAGGAACAAGG
RNAcentral lists this long non-coding RNA (303 nucleotides) under Sarcophilus harrisii (Tasmanian devil). RNAcentral's name for it is "lncRNA (ENSSHAG00000021485.1)". Lineage: Eukaryota; Metazoa; Chordata; Mammalia; Dasyuromorphia; Dasyuridae. The record is from RNAcentral.